UACGUAGGGUGCGAGCGUUAAUCGGAAUUACUGGGCGUAAAGCGUGCGCAGGCGGUGAUGUAAGACCGAUGUGGAAUCCCCGGGCUUAACCUGGGAACUGCAUUGGUGACUGCAUUGCUGGAGUAUGGCAGAGGGGGGUGGAAUGCCGCGUGUAGCAGUGAAAUGCGUAGAGAUGCGGCGGAACACCGAUGGCGAAGGCAGCCCCCUGGGCUGAGAUUGACGCUCAGGCACGAAAGCGUGGGGAGCAAACAGG
Molecule: ribosomal RNA, 253 nt
Filed under: uncultured bacterium
Lineage: Bacteria
Description: partial 16S ribosomal RNA
Rfam family: Bacterial small subunit ribosomal RNA
Source: RNAcentral